GAUGAACGCUGGCGGCGUGCCUAAUACAUGCAAGUCGAGCGAACAGACGAGGCGCUUGCUCCUCUGACGUUAGCGGCGGACGGGUGAGUAACACGUGGAUAACCUACCUAUAAGACUGGGAUAACUUCGGGAAACCGGAGCUAAUACCGGAUAAUAUAUUGAACCGCAUGGUUCAAUAGUGAAAGACGGUUUUGCUGUCACUUCUAGAUGGAUCCGCGCCGCAUUAGCUAGUUGGUAAGGUAACGGCUUACCAAGGCAACGAUGCGUAGCCGACCUGAGAGGGUGAUCGGCCACACUGGAACUGAGACACGGUCCAGGCUCCUACGGGAGGCAGCAGUAGGGAAUCUUCCGCAAUGGGCGAAAGCCUGACGGAGCAACGCCGCGUGAGUGAUGAAGGUCUUCGGAUCGUAAAACUCUGUUAUUAGGGAAGAACAAAUGUGUAAGUAACUAUGCACGUCUUGACGGUACCUAAUCAGAAAGCCACGGCUAACUACGUG
Molecule: ribosomal RNA, 497 nt
Filed under: uncultured bacterium
Lineage: Bacteria
Description: partial 16S ribosomal RNA
Rfam family: Bacterial small subunit ribosomal RNA
Source: RNAcentral